Molecule: ribosomal RNA, 514 nt
Filed under: uncultured bacterium
Lineage: Bacteria
Description: partial 16S ribosomal RNA
Rfam family: Bacterial small subunit ribosomal RNA
Source: RNAcentral
GACGAACGCUGGCGGCGUGCCUAAUACAUGCAAGUCGAGCGGACCGAAGGGAGCUUGCUCCUUUAGGUUAGCGGCGGACGGGUGAGUAGCACGUGGGCAACCUGCCCUGCAGACUGGGAUAACUUCGGGAAACCGGAGCUAAUACCGGAUAACACCGAAAACCGCAUGGUUUUCGGUUGAAAGGCGGCUUUUAGCUGUCACUGCAGGAUGGGCCCGCGGCGCAUUAGCUAGUUGGUGAGGUAACGGCUCACCAAGGCGACGAUGCGUAGCCGACCUGAGAGGGUGACCGGCCACACUGGGACUGAGGCGCGGCCAAGACUCCUACGGGAGGCAGCAGUAGGGAAUCUUCCGCAAUGGACGAAAGUCUGACGGAGCAACGCCGCGUGAGCGAAGAAGGUCUUCGGAUCGUAAAGCUCUGUUGUCAGGGAAGAACAAGUACCGUUCGAAUAGGGCGGUACCUUGACGGUACCUGACGAGGAAGCCACGGCUAACUACGUGCCAGCCGCCGCCGUAA